AAAAAAUCCGCCAACAGCAAGGCAGUCCACAAGCCACUGCCCACUGCCCUUCCAGCUAACCAAUGCCAGUAUUAUGCUUCUCCCUUCCCUUAAAUAUUCUUUUUCCUUUCUAGCAAUUUUUCUUUAAUCAACAAAUUACUAUAAAAAAAUAUAUAUUUAUUUCGUCGAGUGCUGAGACCACAAAGGUAAACUUUAAUAUAUUUGCCUCAACCCCAAAAAACUGGUACAAAACAACGCUGUCUCUCUCUAUCUCUCUGCCUGCUUUAUCUUACUUUCAUUCAAUGCCCUUCAGCCGUUCCUAAAAGUCACCCGAAGUUUCAGUAUAAACCCUGAAAUUCCUUUAUACAUUUUCCCUUAUCUCACUCUCUCCGUCUCUUGAUCCACUCUUGAUUGUUCGGAUGGACGGGUACGGUCAAAGGUCUUACGGUGGUGAUCGGAGAUUCGAGAUUGUAAGUGGCAAGAGUUUCGCGGCUGCCAACCAGAUCUACUCGACGCCCGAUCCGCCACCGGUUCCGGCUCGCGCGACCAGGCAGAGUCGGACCACGUCAACGCCCUGGAGUUUUAGCGAUCCUGAGAUGAAGCGGAAGAAGAGGAUUGCCAAGUACAAG
Molecule: unclassified non-coding RNA, 608 nt
Filed under: Hevea brasiliensis (rubber tree)
Lineage: Eukaryota; Viridiplantae; Streptophyta; Magnoliopsida; Malpighiales; Euphorbiaceae
Source: RNAcentral